RNAcentral lists this transfer RNA (62 nucleotides) under Attagenus augustatus augustatus. RNAcentral describes it as "tRNA-Leu". The record is from RNAcentral. Lineage: Eukaryota; Metazoa; Arthropoda; Insecta; Coleoptera; Dermestidae.
GUUGUUUUGGCAGAUUAGUGCAAUUGAUUUAGAAUCUUUAUAUGUAUAUUAUACAAAUAACA